CACGUAGGGGGCGAGCGUUGUCCGGAAUCAUUGGGCGUAAAGAGCUCGUAGGCGGCUCGGUAAGUCGGGUGUGAAACCCCCAGGCUCAACCUGGGGACGCCACCCGAUACUGCUGUGGCUAGAGUCCAGUAGGGGAGUGUGGAAUUCCCGGUGUAGCGGUGAAAUGCGCAGAUAUCGGGAGGAACACCAGCGGCGAAGGCGGCACUCUGGGCUGGAACUGACGCUGAGGAGCGAAGGCGUGGGUAGCAAACAGG
RNAcentral lists this ribosomal RNA (254 nucleotides) under uncultured bacterium. RNAcentral's name for it is "partial 16S ribosomal RNA". It matches the Rfam family "Bacterial small subunit ribosomal RNA", at positions 524 to 776 of the family's 1533-position model. The record is from RNAcentral.